Molecule: ribosomal RNA, 149 nt
Filed under: Thiomonas delicata
Lineage: Bacteria; Pseudomonadati; Pseudomonadota; Betaproteobacteria; Burkholderiales
Also listed under: 1 other name
Description: partial 16S ribosomal RNA
Rfam family: Bacterial small subunit ribosomal RNA
Source: RNAcentral
UUAUUCUUCCGGGAGCCGCCAGUGGGAAAUCUUGGCCAAGGGGGGCAACCCUGAUCCAGCAAUGCCGCGUGUGGGAAGAAGCCCUUCGGUUUGUAAACCACUUUUGGCGGGAAAGAAAUGCCGGAUGUUAAUAUCAUCUGGGUGAUGAC